GUACCUGCUUUAAAGUCUAAAAAAGUCUCUAAAAGUUUUUAAUUUGUCUUCAUUAGUAUUGCCACAAAAAAACUGUAUUAAUAUUUGUCUUUUAUUCACAGUCUUUCUUUCUUUCUUUUUUUUUAAAGCUUUCCUCAUGUUUUCCAUUCAAAGGGACCGGCCAGUUGAAAUGUCACAACCACAAAACCACUAUUUAUGUAACUUUACUGUGAUAUUUCCUACAUAAUUUUGAAUAGUCUUUUGCAUCAACCAGGGACUAUUUUGAGGCAGUGGCAUCAACAACAGUUCCUAAUACCAGUCCCUGCAGUCUUGUAGAACCACCGUAAAAACAAGGGGAUGGUUUACACUUACACAACGUUUCUUAGCAAAAAUAUUUGUACUGAAGAAAUGAUUAGUCCAUAAAAAAAAGAACUUCCAGUAAUCUCCGUAAGAGUUGUUUUCAUAACUUUAUAAUUCUGUUUGAAAUGAUCCCUUUUUAUUUAACCAUUUUAUGAACCCUUCAAAUACAAUCGUAAACAAACCUAAUUUUGUACUUCGGUGUACUUUAAAUAGCUAUGAGAGGUGAUACGAACAGGCGACAGUAAAUUUGAGUUCAGAAUCAGGGCACGAAGGUUCAUGUUUAUCCUUCGCUGCAGAUCAACAAAACUUUCUAAACUACCAGCUCCACUGCCUGAGAAACACAUCAAUUAGAGUGCGCCUGCAGAAAGUCUGCCAAGGUUUAGUUCCUGAGUCUGUUGAAUGUUAAACAUGUUCGGAGAUUUAUUUUUCUUUUAGCCAUGCAACAUUUAAAGACAAAAUAUAUAUACUGCUGUUAAUAUAAAAUGCUGACUGUGGUCCAGUGUAAACAGUGUUGUCCCGGUUAUAAUUCAAAACUCCGCCAACAUCCUCAAAACAUCAGUACAAGUGCACUGCAACAUGCGAAGCAGUGACUGUAUGUAAUUGACGUUGUGCGAUACAUUUCAACCGACAACUAGGGCGUUUCUGCAGGUUUUGACUUUAGCAAUAAAUCUGUUCCGUUUCUGACACGGAUAAGGAAUGGUACAUUAGCAAAUUUAUUAGCAAAUCAAUUUAAAGCUUUUCAAACUAAACCCCUCCUCAGCAGCGCACCGGGCGAUACUUUGUGAUUAAUAUUGAAAGGAAACAUAACGGGACACGCAUCCCAAUGACAUCCCUUCUCUCCCGUGACAUUUCAGUUUGUUUGUGGCUCCGCCUGCUGCCGCUCGUUCACACGACUUCAGCUCCCAGAGCAGGUUUAAGAAGUGUUUGUAGGAUUAAAUCUCCCAUCUGCACAAACUGCAUUCUGCCUCCUCCAUCCAACCAUCUUCCUCCUCCUUCCCUGUAUCCCUACAAUCACCCCAUCUUUGCUCACAAAUCCCCCCAUUCAACCCUCUUUCUGGUGAUCAGCCUUCUUUCUGUCCGCCACGUGACACAUUAGAGGCAUAGGAUGAUCCUUUCAAACAUAUAAAGGACAAAAAUGGUCGUCUGCAGCUUUAAGGACAGAUAAUGACAGGCACGUGUUUUGGAAGUGUGGCUGUGUGUGAGGAGGGGAAGAUGUUGUUUUGCUCUGGUCUGAGUGAGGGAUAAGAGGAGAGAGGUGGAUUAAAAGAAGAAAAAAAACGAGAGGAGGGAGAGGUUUGCUGAAUCAAAGCCAGAGAGGCAGAAGGGGAAAAGUACAACUUGUUCUUUCCCUUGUGUUCUGUGAGCCUGCCUGUCCACACAGUCACUGUUAAUAACAGGCAGCUAAUAUAAACAACACGUCCCUUCACUUCUCUCUCUCUCUGCCUCCAUCAUCUCCAUCUCUGACUCGUUCCCUUUCUCUCCUCACGGCUGGCUCUCCCAGUAUUUCCUUAAUGCUCCGUAACAAUUAGAUCAGGAAACAGAGAAGAUUCAAGGUGAAAUUCACAUUAGUGACACGGACAGACCGGAAAACAAGCCAGUUGUGAUUGGUUAGCGGAUACUUUAACAACCUUCAUUACAAUGCAGUCCAACAGUGUUCAGACAGUGUCUGCAGAUCUCAUGAACAGAUUCCAAAACUAGCAUUGCAGCCAGCAUUAAUAUAGUUGGGCUCAAUUUUAACACAGUCCAGACACAGGAAGGUUGGACCAGAACCAGAAUUGUAUCAGGUUUUGAGAUCAAAACGGAACACAAAUGUGGUUAAAAUUCACAGAGAACGGGAAAUGAUAUAAAGUCAGGUCUGUACAGACAUCAUCGGCUGUUGGUGUUGUAGACUUGGUGUUUUAGACUUGUGCCUUGAAGACUGAGUAGUCAUGGAUGUGAAGUCCACAUCAUGUACAACUAGCUGGAGACCUAACUCAGACUUGAGUGGAAUUAAUAAUAAUGAUUUGGACUUUUCAAUCUGUUUUCUUCACUGCUUAAACUUAAAGUUUAUCUUUUGAGAGAUCAACUUAGACUUGACCUAAAAAAAUCUUUUAAAGACUCGGAAUUGGACUUGAAACUAAGAGACAAGAUUCAACCUUAAGUUGAGUUUUACACUCUCAUUCUGAUUACUGGACUCAAAUGGACUCAGCUUGGCCAGAACUUUAAUGACUUGGACUUAGAAUCCGACUCAAUGCCCAGACUGAAACCUGGUUGUAAAUGGAAGACUGUAUCGAUGUACCUACUCCAUAACGUAUUAUUAAAUGCUGCAUGGACUUUAUUAAAUGUUUGUUGAGCGCCUGCAGGCCAUACAUAAUUUAGUUGGCGGGCCGCAUUUGGCCCCCGGGCCUUGAGUUUGACACAUGUGGCCUAACUUUUCUUUAUAAUUAACAAAAAAUUCAACAUUGUGUCUGGGUAUUUGACUUCACAGAAAAAGUUUAAAUUAAUGGCUUUUCUUUUGGAUGGAAUAUCACAUUACUUUUUAUGUUUUUUAUUUUCAUAGACCGUGCCACAGAUUUAAUAUAUUUGAUGUAACUUUAUAUGAAACCUGGACGGAACAUUGCCUAAAGGCACCUUUAAGUUUCCCACUUAUAAUCUUAGCGAAUUAUUCAAACCUCCCUCACAUCUGUUUUUACCAUCAAACUCCUGGGAGGGUUGGACUCCAUGCAGAUGUAAUAUGUACAUGUACAUGACCACAAACUAGAAUUCUGUUUGUACAACGGUGGGGCCAGAGGUUAGUAAGAGUUUAUGGUGACAGUUUUAGGCCUUUAUUCACUUAUUUUGAUCCCUUUCUAAAGUUGUCAAAAUGUAAUAAUUUUAAUUUGAUAAUCACAUCCCUAGCUGUGAAUUAAUCACAAUGACUGAUUGUGAUUGUAAAUAAUCACAAUCUUGAUUAAUCAAAAAUAAACCCGCAUUCCAAAAUAUGAAAAAAGUGCAUUACUGGAACAGAGAGUGAAAGAACAGAAGGUAGAUGUAUGUGUUAGCAUUAGCAUCACAGAGAGGUUGUAUUUGAUUUUAUAUUUCUGGAUAUAUUGUCUCCCGACUGGUAGAGCUGUCAGUAACACAUGUCGGUGUCGACUCCUGACGUGUGUCAAGUGUUGCGUCGUGCUGUUAUUCUCCCCCUUCUUUUAGUCUCUGAUUUAGACUAGAGUUCUGACAACAAACUCCAUGUACUCACACACUGGUUAUGUUGAAGUGUUUAUGUCAGUUAUGACAAAGCUCUUCAGAAAAGAGUCCGUACUCUUGGACUGUUGAGCCAAACAAAAACUGUAUUCCUAUGUUUGAUGAGACGUUCUCAUCGAUCGGAUGAAGGUCGGCCGUUAGUCCCCAGGUAUUCCCUUCUCUACAUCUUUUCACCCUCUGCUCUUUUUCCUUUCCAUCUCUCCAAACUUCUGAAUCUUAAAUAUUUUUCGGUUCGAUAUAUAAAAAAAAAAAAUUACAGAAAUUUUGUAGAAUAGUUCUGGUUUGUCAGUAAUCACUAACCGACGUCGUCCUCGUUGUUUUUACCUGAUUUGACAGCUUCUCUCGGCUUUCUCCUCAACACAGUGUCCGUUCUGCGUCUCUUAUUGGUCACAUUCAGGCACUGUUCGUAUAUCAGUCAGCAUCGUCCAGUCAGAGCAGAGCUUCUCUUCCUCCUGUCUCUUUUUGCCCUUAGACAAAUGGUUCAAACCUGUGCUCCCGUGUCCACCUCCUCUUCCGCUCUGCUCCCGUUCUUCAGUUCAGUAAUAUGAAUGUUGCAGGAGUUGAUCCUUCUGUGUUCUUUGUUUCAAAGAAUGUUGUGCCAUUUGUUAAUAGCAAAGAAAACUAUUGAACAUAUAUGAAAAAGAAGAGCUAUUUUAAAUUAUUUUUGGGCUUUUUUUUUUGGCUAUAUUUAUUUUCUUGUAUUAGAAUCUUCUUUGUAGGAGGGGGGAAAAAGUCAAAAUGUAUUUUUCAUUAGUGCGAGAAAAAAAACUAUUUUCUUCCUUUUUGUACAAUUUCCAAUGUUUUGAAAGAGCGAGAGUUUUGAAAAGCAAUAUGAUGACAUUGAUGACAUCAAUGAUGAUGAUGAUGAUGAUGAUGAUUCCCGUGACUAUCUGCAUGCUGUUUCUGUUGCCUUAACAAUGGCUGCAUUUCAUUUUGACCCAACCACCAAUCGACAUGAUCCUCCCACUCACUUUCUGACCCUGACCUCUCAUCUCCUGCCCUUAUGUUACCAGAGUCCUAGUCCCAUCUGAUCCAGUCCAGACCAAUCCAGUCCUGUGCAGUCAAUAAAGCAGUGCUUGCUGUGUAAACAAAACUCUCCGCUUCUUAUCUUUAUUCAGCAUCACUGCGGUCUCUCUGGUCUUUAACGGAGAUUUAGAAAUCUACAGUACUCUAUAUGUAGCAAAGCCUCUGGGAUUAUUCAGCUGCCGCAACUAGUAAACCAUGUACAGGGCCUUGACCUUUUGAACUUUCCCACAGUGUCCAAUCGUAACUACAAACGUACAAACGAUACAUAUUAAAAACCAGGCAGUCAUUUGGAGAAUUCGGGAUUAUUGGCAAGUAUUUGUAAAAAGAGAAUGUAGUGCUAUAUCUCCCCUGCAGGGGGCACUAUUAACAACUGUGAUUUCAUGCACUGAUUCACCAACAUAAAAAGAAAGAAAUGUCUUUGUAAGAGAUAUGUACUCGUUAAUAUUUUUGAGAUUCAAAACUUGUAGUAGUGCGACUUCUCUGGCGAUGUCUUGCUCGUUCCGUCCAGUCUUUGCACAACAACGAGGAGACAGGAGUGACACCUGUAAUAUGUGGAUUGUCUUUUAUAUUUCUCUUCCCAACAGGAUUUUUUGGGGUCUCGUCCGUUGGCUCUCUACAAGCUACAAUCACGACAUAAUCAGAAGGGCCAAUUCUGCAGCUUCAGUGUUGGCCAGAGAGAAGAGAGAAAAAAAUUGGCCUGAAGAAGAAGCAGAAGGAUGCAGGGAUCCAACCGCAGGCGAAUCUCAAGGAGAGGUUGUCUCUGAACGCCAAAGUUUCAGAUGACUGAAGCUACUCUAUGGCUUUAUACUCAGACCCACGGGUGUCACAUCGAGGAAGGCAACCCAGGCAAUAGACUUGGCCCCAGGCUGAAGGGUGCUCCAGAAGACGGCUGACAUUGGUCACUGUGGGGACAGUGUUCCUUAUGUUACAGGCCUCUCCCUCACCUUUCCAACCACAGGUAAGACUUCUAUUUUUGUGUGUCAUCUGAAAAAACAUCUCCAUUCAUUUGUGGUACCCAAGGUAGGGGGCAGAUUUCCCGGGGGGGUUACAGAGCUAUCGCUGUGAACUUGAGUUCGUUUACAUUUUUCUAGGGUGUCCUAGCUCCUUGAUAACUUGUCUCAAUGCAGUUUUUAAACUUAAUACCUUUGCUUAUUGAUCACAGAAUAUCUCUAGGAUAAUCCCCCGUUUAAUCUUCAUUAACAAUCUUAACUUUUUUUGAUGCAGAUCACUGGUAUGUGUUGUCUCAAUAUAUCAGUUGAUCGUUGGGAGGUAAUAAGUUUGACUUUUUUGGACCUUUUUGCCAAGUAAUUAAGUCUUACUGUAUGCUGAUAAAGGCUAAAAAUCCAAUUAGCUGAAUAAAAGCAGUUGAAAGAUAAGAUGAAUCAACUUUUCUAAACUGUGAACUAGUAAUUUUAAGUAUAUCUGUGUCAAAUAACAAGUGGUAAUAACUAACCACUUUGUAUCUGUAUUCUCAGAUGGUAAAAUUGAUUACUACUCACUAAAUAGAAUAUGACACAUCAGCCUGAAUUAUUAAUAUUAAAGCCUGUAAUUCAUUGCAAACAUUUAUUACAUAUUUGAUGCAAACAACAGCGAAUCCACCCUUAAUGGUACAGUUUUUCACUGAGUCAUGAGUGAAUGAAGACACAGACAGGGGGACAGAGAAAGUAUGUAUUAUGCGCAUUUCCAUUGUUUUCACUUUUUUCUUAAAAAAAGGGGGGAAAAAGUAUGACAAUCACCUCUAGUUGUAAAUUUUGGCAUCAUCUUCCCUAGUUGUUAUCUAAAAUAAUGGAUUUUAAAAUAAAAAAAAAAA
Long non-coding RNA from Cynoglossus semilaevis (tongue sole), 6394 nucleotides. RefSeq lists it as uncharacterized. The transcript has 3 exons. The record is from RefSeq and is a predicted model, not a curated record. NCBI's taxonomy places the organism in Eukaryota, Metazoa, Chordata, Actinopteri, Pleuronectiformes, Cynoglossidae.